CGCGUUGGAUUAGCCAGUUGGCAGUGUAACGGCCUACCAAAGCGACGAUCCAUAGCCGGCCUGAGAGGGUGAACGGCCACAUUGGGACUGAGACACGGCCCAGACUCCUACGGGAGGCAGCAGUGGGGAAUAUUGCACAAUGGGGGAAACCCUGAUGCAGCGACGCCGCGUGAAGGAAGAAGUAUUUCGGUAUGUAAAGCUCUAUCAGCAGGGAAGAAACUGACGGUACCUGACUAAGAAGCACCGGCUAAAUAC
This 255-nucleotide ribosomal RNA is filed under the name uncultured bacterium. RNAcentral's name for it is "partial 16S ribosomal RNA". It matches the Rfam family "Bacterial small subunit ribosomal RNA", at positions 232 to 504 of the family's 1533-position model. The record is from RNAcentral.